CAAUGAGCUGCAGUCUGAGCUGUUGGGGUUAGGACCUCGAUGCAUGAAUUUUAGGACGCAAUUCAGUCCACAAGAGCCACCAGGAGCCCUCGGCCUGGCCCGUGGACUGAGUAAAGGGGCUGGGGGUCCCUUAGGGCUGAUGCCACCUGUAGGGUGAGCUCCUGGCCACCCCCUCCUCCUGCCAUCCCUCUUGACGUGCGGCAGUGUGGGACCAGCCCCCGCCUGCUGCUGGUGCAAGAUUGCCAAAGAAAUUUCAUAUCCACAUUCUUGGGGCCUCUCAGAGCAGCAGCCAUGGGAGGGGAGCAGGGCAGGCCUUGCUGCCGUAAGUCCUACUGGGCUGGGAGAACAGGUACGGCUUACCCAAGGGAGGGGCUAGAACUCACACCUCGCCUUCUGCCCUAUCCUCACUCCCUGCUCCCUGUACCCGGGCUGGACAGGGGCUGGGCUCUGGGAGAGGAGUGAAUCACACAGGGAGCUGGCAGGAUAAGACCUGUACGUGUGGCUGCCCAGUGCCAGGCACAGGCAGCUGCCAGACACAGGCAGCAAGGUCGCGGGCCUGCCCUUCUGCCGUCUGCAGGGAAAACUCCUGCAGGAGGAGCCCAGGAAAAGCAGGGCUGGGGAGGGAGUGGCGGGGGGGGGGCACAGGUGGCUUGGGCCAGGGGAGCCGGCCCUGUUGCUUCUGAGCCCUGUGCCUCUAGGCGACUUUUUCUCUGAAUGGCAGCUUCUGAAUGAUGACUGUGGGACAGGUGUGCUCAGGGAAGAAACACGGACCGCUGACUGCACGCCCACCUGAUUUCAGGAUGGAGGCCUCAGGGAGAAGCAGGUGACCAUGACGGCUGCAUAAGGACUGGCCCACCGGAAAACCAGGCCCACCCAAGGCCGGUGGCCUCCGGACAGCAUUUCUGCACCACCAGGGGACGCAGCCCGUCACAACGACCCGCCCUGGGGGUUCCUGAACCCCACGCCCCCAGCUACUGCAGCCAGGACCCUAAGAUCGGCUGCAAAAGGAAGCUGCCCCCUCCUGGUUGGCUCCGAUGCGUUGGGCGCGCGCGCGGGGUCCGCGUGGCCCGACCUCAGCCCAGCCCCCUCUUUGAUCGAUGGGACUGUCCCUCCUCCCGCCCCUUUCUCUGCCCCCUCCCCUCCCUCCCCCACCCCGGCCCCUCCUCGCCCCCCUCCUCGUCCCACAGCCCCGCCCCCCCCCGCCGCCGGGCCCUUCCUCGGCCCGGCCCAGCCCCCUCUCGGACCCCGAG
Molecule: long non-coding RNA, 1250 nt
Filed under: Sus scrofa (pig)
Lineage: Eukaryota; Metazoa; Chordata; Mammalia; Artiodactyla; Suidae
Description: lncRNA (ENSSSCG00070029014.1)
Source: RNAcentral